GGGGAUGUAGCUCAGUUGGUAGAGUUCUUGCCUCACAUGCAUAAGGCCCUGGGUUCAAUCUCUAGCACCACAA
This 73-nucleotide transfer RNA is filed under the name Ictidomys tridecemlineatus (thirteen-lined ground squirrel). RNAcentral's name for it is "Spermophilus tridecemlineatus (thirteen-lined ground squirrel) tRNA". It matches the Rfam family "tRNA". From Rfam's summary of the family: Transfer RNA (tRNA) molecules are approximately 80 nucleotides in length. Their secondary structure includes four short double-helical elements and three loops (D, anti-codon, and T loops). Further hydrogen bonds mediate the characteristic L-shaped molecular structure. tRNAs have two regions of fundamental functional importance: the anti-codon, which is responsible for specific mRNA codon recognition, and the 3' end, to which the tRNAs corresponding amino acid is attached (by aminoacyl-tRNA synthetases). tRNAs cope with the degeneracy of the genetic code in two manners: having more than one tRNA (with a specific anti-codon) for a particular amino acid; and 'wobble' base-pairing, i.e. permitting non-standard base-pairing at the 3rd anti-codon position. RNAcentral also lists the same sequence under 1 other name. The record is from Rfam by way of RNAcentral. Lineage: Eukaryota; Metazoa; Chordata; Mammalia; Rodentia; Sciuridae.